UCCUUGGUAACGCAGCUAACGCGUGAAGUAGACCGCCUGGGGAGUACGGUCGCAAGAUUAAAACUCAAAGGAAUUGACGGGGACCCGCACAAGCGGUGGAUGAUGUGGAUUAAUUCGAUGCAACGCGAAAAACCUUACCUACGCUUGACAUGUCCGGAACCCUGAAGAGAUUUGGGGGUGCUCGAAAGAGAGCCGGAACACAGGUGCUGCAUGGCUGUCGUCAGCUCGUGUCGUGANANNNNNNNNNNNNNNUCCCGCAACGAGCGCAACCCUUAUCAUUAGUUGCUACGCAAGGGCACUCUAAUGAGACUGCCGGUGACAAACCGGAGGAAGGUGGGGAUGACGUCAAGUCCUCAUGGCCCUUAUGUGUAGGGCUUCACACGUCAUACAAUGGUCGGUACAGAGGGUUGCGAAGCCGCGAGGUGGAGCCAAUCCCAAAAAACCGAUCGUAGUCCGGAUUGCAGUCUGCAACUCGACUGCAUGAAGUCGGAAUCGCUAGUAAUCGCGGAUCAGCAUGCCGCGGUGAAUACGUUCCCGGNU
Molecule: ribosomal RNA, 540 nt
Filed under: uncultured bacterium
Lineage: Bacteria
Description: partial 16S ribosomal RNA
Rfam family: Bacterial small subunit ribosomal RNA
Source: RNAcentral